GUCGUCCCCAGGCUCCGGGUGGCCCGACACAGACAGCCUGUCUCCACACUCGGGAGAUUUCCAGAGGAAAAAACACUCUGCUUUUUAAAAUGGAAGCAGCCUUGCCCGCUGGGACCCGCUGUGGCCGACGGGACACGAGCAGACGCCAUGCCCGCAGGCGCCUCAGUUGGCCCCGGUCGUGUGCUUGUCUUCCGUGUGUCUGUCCGGACCAUGGAGACCGGCUCUGGGGAGCCACCGGCCCAGGGAGCAUGAGACACACUGGGCCCGACCCAGACCCCAACCACCCUGCCAUCCACAGCCUAAGACAGAGUCUCCCCGGCCAACCCACCACCUGCACGCAGGAAAAGACCCCUCUUCUUGAACGGCUUUGCAAAAUUCAUCGAUGACAUUCCUUUCUUGGUUAAUGUGUUCACCCGAAAAUACCUACUGAGGUCCCAUUAGGGGCGAGGACCCAGGUCCCAAUUACAAUGUCGCUUCCGUUCCUGUAAAGUGACUUCAGCCCAAGAUACUGAAGAGCAAGCCUUGAGCCCACUCAACCAUUCGUCAUCAGGGAUAUUCUCCACAUCAGAAUUCGAGACCGCUAGAGAUCAGGCAGAGGAACAUUCCACUGUGUGCACGGCCCACGCUCUGCUUACCCGUUCGCCCCCCUAAACGGACACCCGAGUUGCUUCCGCCCCUCGGCUCCCGUGAGAAGUGCUGCUGAGAACACGGGUGUGCCGACGCCUCUUCCAGACCUUGCUUUGCACUUAUUUGGGGGUUCCCGCUCAGCGUUGUGUCCUCAAGACCUGAGGCGCCCAAGGGUGCUGACGGGCCGGACACCUGCCGAGGCUGUUACCGCCAAGUUUCAGAACCACCUGUGAGAGCUCCUGCUCCCUCAGCGAAGGAGAAAGUAAGACAGUUGGAAGUGACU
Long non-coding RNA from Herpailurus yagouaroundi (jaguarundi), 910 nucleotides. RefSeq lists it as uncharacterized. NCBI's taxonomy places the organism in Eukaryota, Metazoa, Chordata, Mammalia, Carnivora, Felidae. The record is from RefSeq and is a predicted model, not a curated record. The transcript is spliced from 5 exons.